GACGAACGCUGGCGGCGUGCUUAACACAUGCAAGUCGAACGGAAAGGCGCUGCUUUUGCGGGGUGCUCGAGUGGCGCACGGGUGAGUAACACGUGAGUAACCUGCACUUGUCUUUGGGAUAUCUUCUGGAAACUGGGGAUAUUACCGGAUAGGAGCUCCUGCUGCAUGGUGGGGGUUGGUAAGAUUCGGCGGUUUUGGCUGGUAUCGAGGCUUAUCCGCUUGUUUGUGGAGUAGUGGCUUACCAAGGCUUUGACGGGUAGCCGGCCUGAGAGGGUGACCGGCCACAUUGGGACUGAGGGAGGGCCCAGACGCCUACGGGAGGCAACAGUGGAGAAUAUUGCACAAUGGGCGGAAGCCUGAGGCAGCAACGCCGCGUGCGGGAUGACGUCCUUCGGGUUGUAAACCGCUUUCGCCUGUGACGAAGCGUGAGUGACGGUAAUGAGUCAAGAAGCACCGGCUAACUACGUG
Molecule: ribosomal RNA, 468 nt
Filed under: uncultured bacterium
Lineage: Bacteria
Description: partial 16S ribosomal RNA
Rfam family: Bacterial small subunit ribosomal RNA
Source: RNAcentral